This 341-nucleotide ribosomal RNA is filed under the name uncultured Thiobacillus sp. Its description in RNAcentral is "bacterial SSU rRNA". It matches the Rfam family "Bacterial small subunit ribosomal RNA", at positions 1034 to 1382 of the family's 1533-position model. The record is from RNAcentral. Lineage: Bacteria; Pseudomonadati; Pseudomonadota; Betaproteobacteria; Nitrosomonadales; Thiobacillaceae.
ACAGGUGCUGCAUGGCUGUCGUCAGCUCGUGUCGUGAGAUGUUGGGUUAAGUCCCGCAACGAGCGCAACCCUUAUCAUUAGUUGCUACGCAAGGGCACUCUAAUGAGACUGCCGGUGACAAACCGGAGGAAGGUGGGGAUGACGUCAAGUCCUCAUGGCCCUUAUGGGUAGGCUUCACACGUCAUACAAUGGUCGGUACAGAGGGUUGCCAAGCCGCGAGGUGGAGCCAAUCCCAGAAAGCCGAUCGUAGUCCGGAUUGUUCUCUGCAACUCGAGAGCAUGAAGUCGGAAUCGCUAGUAAUCGCGGAUCAGCAUGUCGCGGUGAAUACGUUCCCGGGUCUU